RNAcentral lists this ribosomal RNA (497 nucleotides) under uncultured bacterium. Its description in RNAcentral is "partial 16S ribosomal RNA". It matches the Rfam family "Bacterial small subunit ribosomal RNA", at positions 28 to 507 of the family's 1533-position model. The record is from RNAcentral.
GAUGAACGCUGGCGGCGUGCCUAAUACAUGCAAGUCGAGCGAACGGACGAGAAUCUUGCUUUUCUGAUGUUAGCGGCGGACGGGUGAGUAACACGUGGAUAACCUACCUAUAAGACUGGGAUAACUACGGGAAACCGGAGCUAAUACCGGAUAAUAUUUUGAACCGCAUGGUUCAAAAGUGAAAGACGGUCUUGCUGUCACUUAUAGAUGGAUCCGCGCUGCAUUAGCUAGUUGUUAAGGUAACGGCUUACCGAGGCCACGAUGCAUAGCCGACCUGAGAGGGUGGUGGGCCACACCGGAGGUGAGACGCGGUCCAGACUCCUACGGGAGGCAGCAGUAGGGAAGCUUCCGCAAUGGGGGAAAGCAUGACGGAGCAACGCCGCGUGAGUGAUGAAGGUCUUCGGAUCGUAAAACUCUGUUAUUAGGGAAGAACAUAUGUGUAAGUAACUGUGCACGGCUUGACGGUACCCAAUCAGAAAGCCACGGCUAACUACGUG